AGUACAUUAAUGUAAUCCGACGGAACAUCCGAAAGUUCCUCAGCCUUCCUCCUAAAACCCCGAGCUCCCUCCCGUCCGACCUCCUCCUCCUGGCUUCCUUCUUCCCUUCUUCCUUCUUCCUUCUUCCCUAUUCGAAGAAAAACCAAGGUCGAGAUCGAGAGGAGGAUGGUUGAGGGAUGGCAAUCCUCUACUCGCUGGUGGCUCGGGUAUCGAUGAUGCUGGCGAAGUUCGGCGCGGCGGCGAAUACUGGACAAGAUGGAUGCCGCCGGCGACGCCCAAUCCUCCUACUCGCACGAACUGUAUUUCUUCCACGUGAAGCGCUCCGAUGGGAUCGCCGUCCUCUGCACGGCCGACGACUCUGCCGGCGCUCUCUGCACCAAACCAGUUCUCUUGCAGGCUUGAUAGCAUUUGAUGAUGAUGUGUUCAAGCCAGACAAAAUAUGGUGAGAAAUUUUCUUGAGUCCGUGGAGGCCAAGACAAGGUUCCUACAGAGCCUGGACUUGAACGUAUCCAGACUGGGCGAGUUUGAUUGGAUUUUGCCAUGUUUGAUUGGUGUGACUAAAAGCCUAAGAGCCAAAAUUUUGAGUGCAGGAACAAAAAUUACCUGUGCAGCAAUCCAUCAAGUUGAUUCCACAUUGUACAAUUUACUCCAAGAGUUCAUGUGAUCAAAUUCAAAACCUCUCAUGGUCUGCUACAUGACUUUAGAAUC
Long non-coding RNA from Phoenix dactylifera (date palm), 708 nucleotides. RefSeq lists it as uncharacterized. The record is from RefSeq and is a predicted model, not a curated record. NCBI's taxonomy places the organism in Eukaryota, Viridiplantae, Streptophyta, Magnoliopsida, Arecales, Arecaceae.